Molecule: long non-coding RNA, 1638 nt
Organism: Vulpes vulpes (red fox)
Lineage: Eukaryota; Metazoa; Chordata; Mammalia; Carnivora; Canidae
Source: Ensembl
AUGGAGGAACGGAAUCUAACCCAGUGCUCUGCAUCCAAAGGCCAUUCUCCUUUCUCUUCAAAAAGACUCUUUCCAUUAAUGCACAUGAGUUUGCAAGUUUUAAAAUGUGGUAAUUCUUAUACCUCAUAUGAAGAUUCAUCACUUGAACAUUUUUUUCUACACAAACACACUUUAAAAACCAAAACUGAAGUCAAGGUUAAAAGAGCUGAUAAUGCUGGUGUCGUCCAAAUCAAGAACAGGAAACUAAGGCUUGGAAGGGUUACACGCUGUUCCAAAGUAGGCACAGAGUCUCCCUGGAAGCCAGGUGUCCUGACUCACUGCCAGUGGUCUGCCACGGCCUGGACUCAGCACCACCACAGGAGCCAGAAGAGUUAAUGCGGGUGCUGCCGCCACCACAGCAGCAGCGGCAACAGCAGCAGAUAGCUCCUUGCCAGCCCGUGGAAGCCACUCCAAAUUCUCAGGAACUUUUCUCCACCCUCCUGGCGAGGGAGGGGGCAGGCAAGCCCUGGCUUUUAUGAGCUCAGCUUAUAUGGGGGAAACCCUGGGCUUGCCAACAUGUCCAGUGCUCCCAUACAGCCCAGCCUCUACCUUCUGGGUCCUGGGGAUCCACCUUUUGAGGUCCAGUUCUAGUGUCACGCACAGUAAUUUCUUGCUGGGUCAUCUAAAGUCCUUUGCAUGAAAUUAAUGCCUUUUUCAGGGUGCAUGUUCAUGCGUACACACACACACACACACACACACACACACACACACUUUUUACCUAUUUUGAAAUUAAUUAUUUACAUAUAACUUUUUUUCCCACUUAACUCCUAGACACCAGUGUCAGAACCUUUCACCUUGUCUUUAUUUUUGCACGUAUAGCACCCAGCCUGAGUAACACGGAAAUUUGACAAGUAUUUGUUAAAAUGAAAUUAGGGUGUCUGCAAUACCCCUUAGGAGGUUUAAACAUUAAACUGUGAACUCUUCAAUUGACUUUGCUAGUCCUGGGUCUUUUGUGAGACAGGUGCUCUGGGACAGCAGGGGCCCCAGUCUCCUGAGGGUAUGAAACAACAAGAGAAAGGAGGCUCUGGCUGAGAACAAAUCCCAGAACAGACAAGGAAGUCCCAACAACAGAAUCUCAGAUACCAGAACUGAGCUGCAUUUUAUUGCAAGUCCCUUCAAGUCCAUUUGAAGAGCAAACAUGUUCAAAUAUUAGGAUUCAAGACAGAGAAGUUGCAAAACCUAUAUCAACCAAGCUUAUGGGAGACAAUUGAGGCAAUGAGUGCUAGGGUGGCUCCUACAAUGUGUGCCCAGGUCUCACCAGCCCUUCCAACAAGUGUGGGUUCAAGGAAUAGAUCUGGCUGUUACCCGAGACAGAAAUGACUGGUAUUGCCUAGAUGGACUGUUCAUGGCUUCUCCAGGGAUAACUGGGGGUGCUUGUUUUCCUUCCUACCUCCAGGUCAGCUUUCCCAAAAGGAGUGUAAGAAUGUGCCUCUACUGAGUGAGGCUCAGUGUUCAUCCAUUGGGACACCGGCUCCAUGGAGUCUAAUAGCAUUACUCAGUAAUGAAUGAGAAAGUGGAAGAAGGAAUUUCUCUAUGCAACAUACAAAAUAAGAUUGAGCUGUGAAUAAAUCAAAACCAUCUAGAGUUUGUUUUAGAAAC